AACGAACGCUGGCGGCAUGCCUAACACAUGCAAGUCGAACGAGAUCUUCGGGUCUAGUGGCGCACGGGUGCGUAACGCGUGGGAAUCUGCCCUUUGGUUCGGAAUAACAGUUGGAAACGGCUGCUAAUACCGGAUGAUGACGAAAGUCCAAAGAUUUAUCGCCAGAGGAUGAGCCCGCGUAGGAUUAGCUAGUUGGUGUGGUAAAGGCGCACCAAGGCGACGAUCCUUAGCCGGUCUGAGAGGAUGAUCAGCCACACUGGGACUGAGACACGGCCCAGACUCCUACGGGAGGCAGCAGUGGGGAAUAUUGGACAAUGGGCGAAAGCCUGAUCCAGCAAUGCCGCGUGAGUGAUGAAGGCCUUAGGGUUGUAAAGCUCUUUUACCCGGGAUGAUAAUGACAGUACCGGGAGAAUAAGCUCCGGCUAACUCCGUGCCAGCCGCCGCGGUAA
This 449-nucleotide ribosomal RNA is filed under the name uncultured bacterium. RNAcentral's name for it is "partial 16S ribosomal RNA". It matches the Rfam family "Bacterial small subunit ribosomal RNA", at positions 29 to 523 of the family's 1533-position model. The record is from RNAcentral.